This 354-nucleotide unclassified non-coding RNA is filed under the name Hevea brasiliensis (rubber tree). Lineage: Eukaryota; Viridiplantae; Streptophyta; Magnoliopsida; Malpighiales; Euphorbiaceae. The record is from RNAcentral.
CAAGACACAGUUAAAUUUUUAUUUAAAAAAAAAAAACUAUCCAAAACAUACGAAGAAAAAAAAAAUAGUGCAAUAAAAAAUCAAAAUUAUGAUUCACAAAACACCAAAUCUCCAAAUUCAUAACAUAGGCAUCAUUCAAUAUUAAAAAGAAUCUCAUAAAUUAAAUUCAUAUAUUAUAACCACGGACAUAUCGAUCCAAACCACAUAAAUACAAUAAUAUGAGCUUAUAUCAAGGCUUACCUAUUAUAAUUGAGAAAGUGAGUAUACGGGUCCUACUGGAGCAGUGUAAAUGGGUGCAACAAUGGGUUGGGCUGAGAUUGGAACAACAUUGGGUUGGACCGAUUGCUGGAGGUG